This 377-nucleotide ribosomal RNA is filed under the name uncultured bacterium. RNAcentral describes it as "bacterial SSU rRNA". It matches the Rfam family "Bacterial small subunit ribosomal RNA", at positions 523 to 898 of the family's 1533-position model. The record is from RNAcentral.
AGACGGAGGGCGCGAGCGUUGUUCGGAAUUACUGGGCGUAAAGCGCGCGUAGGCGGAUGGGCAAGUCGGGAGUGAAAUCCUGGGGCUCAACCCUGGGACUGCUAUCGAUACUGCUCGUCUAGGGACCGGUAGAGGCCGGUGGAAUUCCCGGUGUAGCGGUGGAAUGCGUAGAUAUCGGGAAGAACACCUGUGGCGAAGGCGGCCGGCUGGGCCGGAUCCGACGCUGAGGCGCGAAAGCGUGGGGAGCAAACAGGAUUAGAUACCCUGGUAGUCCACGCCGUAAACGAUGGGUGCUAGAUGCCGGGGGGAGCGACCCCUUCGGUGUCGCAGCUAACGCGUUAAGCACCCCGCCUGGGGAGUACGGCCGCAAGGCUGAA